Molecule: transfer RNA, 76 nt
Filed under: Gammaproteobacteria bacterium
Lineage: Bacteria; Pseudomonadati; Pseudomonadota; Gammaproteobacteria
Description: tRNA-Arg
Rfam family: tRNA
About the family: Transfer RNA (tRNA) molecules are approximately 80 nucleotides in length. Their secondary structure includes four short double-helical elements and three loops (D, anti-codon, and T loops).
Source: RNAcentral
GCGCCCAUAGCUUAAAUGGAUAGAGCAACAGCUUCCGGAGCUGAAGAUAUAGGUUCAAUUCCUAUUGGGCGUUCAA